Molecule: long non-coding RNA, 230 nt
Filed under: Elaeis guineensis (African oil palm)
Lineage: Eukaryota; Viridiplantae; Streptophyta; Magnoliopsida; Arecales; Arecaceae
Description: long non-coding RNA (EGUI_LNC063987)
Source: RNAcentral
GAUGGAGUCUUAUUUACAUGUCAGCUGAUGAUUCUCUAAUAAGAGUUGUGUAAUCUUUUGACCUGAGAUCACCAUAGUAUCUUGUAUACAUGAAUCCAUAUUUUAGUUCACUUUCUAACUUAGUUUUUUGAUCCUUAUGUGGGGUGUUCUAGAUAUGGAGGGGUGUACAUGGAGAUUGUGAGUGAUCAAUAAGGGAUCAGUCACUCCUAAUAAGGGGAGCAAACAUCCUA